Molecule: long non-coding RNA, 1311 nt
Organism: Plodia interpunctella (Indianmeal moth)
Lineage: Eukaryota; Metazoa; Arthropoda; Insecta; Lepidoptera; Pyralidae
Exons: 2
Source: RefSeq, a predicted model, not a curated record
AUCAUACUAUCUUUUGGUGAAAUCCGUACAUAAAUCGUAUACCGUCCGAUAGUUUUUGAGUUUAUCGCGUUCAUGCAGACAGGGGGACUUUUUCAUAUUUAUGUAAGGAUUUACAAUACAAUAAUAUAUACAUGAGUAUAAAAUGUAUUAACACACAAAGUAUGACAUCAUGAUUUAGGCAAAAGGUGGCCUUAUCGCUGUAAGCAAUUUUUCCCAGACAACCUUUUGUUUUUCUGAUUUAGAUAUUUUUGAAUGGACGUCCGAAGAAGACUUUUUGUCGCGCUGAUAACGAAGUUACUGGGAUAAUAUCGUAAAUAAUAUGUUACAACACUGAUUAAAGAGAGGAGUCUAAACCUGACUUAUCGACCACCGCCAUCUAGCGCCAGACGUAAUUGUCACUAGUAAGGCGCGUUCGCAUUGCUCAGUCGCGCUCCGUUGCGACGAGACACCACGUUGUGCUCCGUUGUUUUCUAUAGGGUUUGAGAAUGACGUAAGUUGACGUACGUCGAAACUUCACACAAAUUCUACAAUGUUCUGUGUUGAUCCGUCGACGGAUAUCAUACCGAAGGAUAUCGCAGCGCAACUGAGCAAUGGGAACGCGCUCUAAGCAGAGUGUAUGCAUAUAAUAGAUAUCUAACAUAAUCACAAACUGAAUAAGAGUCAAUUCGUUCUACAUAAUUCGAUUACCACAAUCAGAAUACUGAAUAUUGAAUUAAAAGCUUGAAAUUAAUUAAACUCGUCAAUAUUUUUUUUAUUAUUAUUUUGUGAGCCUGUUUGCGCCAGUAUUUCGACGUUCCUUUACAUAUAAUGAACUGUCAAUUGUUAUAUAUACUAACUCAAGUAUGGUUAUUCCAUUCUACAUUGUGUAUGAUUGGCAGAGUUUUUGAGUUUUUAGACGAUGAAGCCAAUAGCAGAUUGAUUAUGGCCACCCAUGGGAAUAAGGCGAAAGACGUACAAUCGUUGACAACAAAAAUUAGUGUGCCAAAAUGUAUCGAAGUGACAUACGUGAGGGUGGUUAUUAGUAGCGUGGAACCAUUACCCUAUGUCUCGUACGAUGAGAAAACCCAUCUUGUGAAUAUCACAUAUGAUAGGGAGCAAAACACUGACACGUUGUUCCAGAUCUUCGCAAAAGGAGGACCGGACAGGUACUGCGGAUCGAAGAAGAAGUUGAAAGGACCAGGGUACAAGGUGUCCGGAUCGAUGGUCAGGUUCAUCAACCUGAACAGCGUCAAAAUACCUGAAUCGUACAUACGUUAUCCGUAAUGUUCAUUCGAGAUUUUUGAAAUGGUCAGAAAUACAUUUUGAAAUUUA